UUCAUGGAGAGUUUGAUCCUGGCUCAGGACGAACGCUGGCGGCGUGCCUAAUACAUGCAAGUCGAGCGGACCGACGGGAGCUUGCUCCCUUAGGUCAGCGGCGGACGGGUGAGUAACACGUGGGUAACCUGCCUGUAAGACUGGGAUAACUCCGGGAAACCGGGGCUAAUACCGGAUGCUUGAUUGAACCGCAUGGUUCAAUCAUAAAAGGUGGCUUUUA
This 220-nucleotide ribosomal RNA is filed under the name Bacillus licheniformis. RNAcentral describes it as "partial 16S ribosomal RNA". It matches the Rfam family "Bacterial small subunit ribosomal RNA", at positions 1 to 217 of the family's 1533-position model. The record is from RNAcentral. Lineage: Bacteria; Bacillati; Bacillota; Bacilli; Caryophanales; Bacillaceae.